This 320-nucleotide ribosomal RNA is filed under the name uncultured Bacteroidales bacterium. RNAcentral's name for it is "bacterial SSU rRNA". It matches the Rfam family "Bacterial small subunit ribosomal RNA", at positions 28 to 339 of the family's 1533-position model. Lineage: Bacteria; Pseudomonadati; Bacteroidota; Bacteroidia; Bacteroidales. The record is from RNAcentral.
GAUGAACGCUAGCUACAGGCUUAACACAUGCAAGUCGAGGGGCAGCAUGAAGUUUGCUUGCAAACUUUGAUGGCGACCGGCGCACGGGUGAGUAACGCGUAUCCAACCUUCCCCUUACUAGGGAAUAGCCUUGCGAAAGUAAGAUUAAUGCCCGAUGGUCUCAGAAUAUGACAUCAUGCUUUGAGUAAAGAUUCAUCGGUAUGGGAUGGCGAUGCGUCCGAUUAGAUAGUUGGCGGGGUAACGGCCCACCAAGUCAUCGAUCAGUAGGGGUUCUGAGAGGAAGGUCCCCCACAUUGGAACUGAGACACGGUCCAAACUCC